RNAcentral lists this ribosomal RNA (253 nucleotides) under uncultured bacterium. Its description in RNAcentral is "partial 16S ribosomal RNA". It matches the Rfam family "Bacterial small subunit ribosomal RNA", at positions 524 to 776 of the family's 1533-position model. The record is from RNAcentral.
UACGUAGGGUGCGAGCGUUGUCCGGAAUUAUUGGGCGUAAAGAGCUUGUAGGCGGUUUGUCGCGUCUGCUGUGAAAAUCCGGGGCUCAACCCCGGACUUGCAGUGGGUACGGGCAGGCUAGAGUGUGGUAGGGGAGACUGGAAUUCCUGGUGUAGCGGUGAAAUGCGCAGAUAUCAGAAGGAACACCGAUGGCGAAGGCAGGUCUCUGGGCCACUACUGACGCUGAGAAGCGAAAGCAUGGGGAGCGAACAGG